UUUCCUGAAAACUCCAGCAAUUAGGAUGCUUGAAUGAUUCAAUUUUGAUGUAAGGUUUCUACUUCUACAUACUAUUAUGGAUCUCUCAUAGUCAUAGGUUAUCACAAUAAAUUUUACAACUCCUACUACAAGAAUGACAGCAUAUUAGCAAGAGAUUUUAAUUUCACAAAAAGAGAGUUGGCAACAUAGAAGAAGAGUGAAAGGAUUGUAUAGUACCUGUAGGAAAUUACUGUUUCUGACUUCCUCGAAAUCAUCUUUAAUAUAGAGAAGGGCUCCUGAUAUGACACCUGUGACAAUGGCGGGCGAAGAUGUUUUUAAAACAAUGCACACUCUACUUAAGAAUCUAAAGAAAUCUACUUCGCAUGAAAACCCCCUAGCUGCCUGUGAUGUUACUACGUUUUGAUCUACUGGCUUAGCCUCAAACGUUUAGCAUAUAGAGGGAGCUUGCAGUGAAUGUCAUUACUGUGGCACUUGAUGCUAGUUUAAACGAUGAGAAGGCCCGAGUGGAGUGUUGCAGAGCACUUCUAAUAUUGUGUGGGCACUUUUCCUCUAGUGGGAGGAUACUGACCAAGACUAGUAUCUUCGAAGAAGCAGAUUAUAAUAUCAACAUAUACGGAAGUAAGACUUCAAAGCCAUGAAGAAGAGGGUCUACUGUGGGAUCAUGCAACCAUUUUGUCUGAGAGUUUUCUUCUCUGGGUCUUUAUUGACACCAAGUCAACAUUUAUAAUGAAGAGUUAUGGUCACAUGAGAGCAAUAGAACUUCACUGACAUGACAUGUACAUGACCGUCUCUAGUUAGUGUUGCAAUCGUACAACCUCUAUACCUGUUGUCGUGGGUGAUGAAGUUAAUUAAAAUGAUAGAAAAAUGAAGAAGCAAGGGGAGAAGAGUUGUUAAUGAAGUUGUUAGAAUCACUAGCUGGAAAUGGAGAAAGCCCAUUUGUGAACAACUUAUGUAGAUGCCUAGAAUCUAAACCCCUAGAUUUGGUUAGGGUGUGUCCAAUAAUGGUUAAAUGGUUGACCUCUUCGCUCUCCAAGCUAAUGAAUGUGGGAUUUCAUCUUCCUGGACGAAAGGGGAACUUGAGCUAAAGACUCUUGCUUCAGUGUCCUUAAUUUCAGUAAAAUAUCAGGACUCUGUUGAAGACAAUGGCAGAAGAUAUUGCUCACCUUCUUCAUAAGCUUGUGGAUGUAACAUGGACUGAGUUUGAGUUUUGAUAGUGUUUAAUGUUUAGAGAAAGCAAAUACUUUUUAAGUUUUAACUAUGUACAUCCUUCUCUAGAAAACAGCAUAUUGCAUAUCGAUUUCAUUAACUUAGGUUAUAGGAAAGAAGCGGUAGUAUCGGCGGACAGAGAGAGAGAAACAGACCAGUA
Arachis stenosperma is the source of this 1366-nucleotide long non-coding RNA. RefSeq lists it as uncharacterized. The transcript is spliced from 3 exons. NCBI's taxonomy places the organism in Eukaryota, Viridiplantae, Streptophyta, Magnoliopsida, Fabales, Fabaceae. The record is from RefSeq and is a predicted model, not a curated record.